RNAcentral lists this long non-coding RNA (2816 nucleotides) under Lynx pardinus (Iberian lynx). Lineage: Eukaryota; Metazoa; Chordata; Mammalia; Carnivora; Felidae. The record is from RNAcentral.
AAGCGGCAGCUCCCUGGCCAACACCCGGCCAGAUUCUGAGCCUUCUCCACCUGCCAGGUUAGAAUCUUCUCUUUCUGGGCAUUGCCCGGUGAAACCCCAGUUUCUCGCUUGAUGCAAACCUCUUCUCUCCUCCCUGUGCUCAGGUGGACCUUCAGAAGCUCUAUGCCGAUGAGCUGGUGGGUGGAGGGCUCCCCUGGCCCUCAGUUCUCCACUGUUGCGUAGGGAGAGAGAGAAAGAGGAAUCUGCUCCCGACCUUCCUGGGCCAGGGAGCCCCAGAACCACGGCUCCUUUUCUGUGAACAGUACCAGGGGUCCAACUUGCUCACCAACGGAGUGUUCACUUGGGGCACUCCCCGUGCUCAGCAAGGCCCCACACUUGGUUUAACAUGCUGCUGCCAUGGUCUCGAAAUUCUUAACAAUUGUGGAACAAGGGGCCCUGCAUUUGCAUUUUUCACCCAGACCGUUACAACGUACGUAGCCGGUCCUGCCUGCCAGACAUGCGUGUUACAGCUGCGUCCAGCUGGCCACAUCACUCCACACUGCGCUCCGCCCCCAACGCUGCAACAGUCCCCAAAAGCCUGAAGCCGCAGACUCAUCCACUCUCCAGGCCGGCUCUCCGGGCUGUGGGCACACGUGAGAUUGCCCUCUGUACGUGAGGGACCAGGAACCUCAGGGUGCGGGUAUCAGCCUCUCCUCACUAGGCAGCCCCCACCCCACCAUCCUCAGGAGCCCCCUGGGCCGGACGGCGGGUCCCCUGGCUAAGCUGAACUCCAAUGGGACACUGAAAUGCCAGCCUCUCCCUCCUGCCGGCUCCCUUGAUUCCUGAACAAGGGAUUCCUUCAUCCUUCCGGGGUCCCUGCCCUUCCUUCCAGCUCUGCUGCAGACGUGAGGGAAGAUGCUCUCUCCCUCAAAUCUGUGCAGUCCCCAAGGCUCUCCCCCACCGGCCCCCACCUCUUCUCCUCUGCACGUGGGCGAGGGCCUUUGGGGAGGAUGUGGGUCUGACAGGGCCCGGCCGUGAGCCCUGCAGUGACAAGGAGGUCUGGGAGGGUCUGCCACUCGACUAGCCUGUGGGAGACCCAGCCCCUUGGGACAGGCAAGUCCCCACCAGACAGCCGGCAACAGAGCAGCGACUGCUCUGAAGAAGGUGCCAGAGGGGAUGUGGCAGAGAAGAGGACACGCUGUCGGGACGGUGGCCAUUCCAGUGGAAGAGGCCGAGGACGACCAGGAGGACCAGUCACCAGUAAUAAAAAAAGUUGCACGAAACGUGGGUUUCGACCUGGUUCUCAAGAGGCGACCUGAGGAAGUAGAUGAAACUGACCAGACUUGGGGUAUAUGUGGAGGAGAGGAGAGGGGAGGGGAGGGCAGGGGAGGGGANNNNNNNNNNNNNNNNNNNNNNNNNNNNNNNNNNNNNNNNNNNNNNNNNNNNNNNNNNNNNNNNNNNNNNNNNNNNNGGGGGUGCAGGGAAGCGGCAGAGGGAGGCGGGGUUGAGUGAAUCACCAUCUGUGCUGUAAGGCCCCUAAUUUUCUCUGGCAGUGGCGCUGGGGCAGGAGAGGCAGUAAACAGACCAGCAGCUUCUGGUCUUUUUCGGCCUCCCACUGGUCCUUGAAGACCAGCAGAGGCAGAAGGGGGGGCGGGGGCGGGGGUGGGGUGAGGUGGCUCAAAGGCUCCGGCCUGGCCCCGCCUGGCUUUGGCAGGAUCCAAGUGGCUGAGGGACCAAGGUGCCCCUCCUUGUGGCAUUCUCCAGUGAGAGCGGCCACAGGGGGCUCCGUCUUGGGGGGAGCUCGCUCCAGGCCUUAAUCUCUCCAGCUUGGACGCCGGCUCCGGCUCCGAGGGCGGUGUUGGCCUCUCCGCCCAGGGGCCUGUGAGGUUUUCCAACCACCUUCUCUGUUUUCUGGGUCCCCUACCUUGGCGGCUCUUUCUUGGAACCACAGAUCAUUUGCUUUGGACACUUUCUUCAAGUAUAGGCUGUGUUGAGAGUUAACACCCUCGCUGCCAAGAAUUUGGAGAUGGUGGAUAAGAAAAUAGAUAGCCCCAGGGUUCGUGGGUGGCUUAGUCAGUUGAGCGUCUGACUUCGGCUCAGGUCAUGAUCUCAAGGUUUGUGGAUUCCAGCCCCAUGUCGGGCUCUGUGCUGACAGCUCAGAGCCUGGAGCCUGCUUCAGAUUCUGUGUCCCCCUCUCUCUCUGCCCCUCCCCUGCUUGAGCUCCCUCUCUCCCUCUCCCUCUCUCUCUCUCUCUCUCAAAAGUAAAUAAACAUUUUUUUAAAGUUAAAAAAAAAAAGAAGAUAGGUAUCCCCUAUCUAGACAAACACCCUCUUGAGAUGGAUAGAUAAUUCCGAUGAAUACAAGUAAUUUCCAACUUUAUAAUAUUCACUCACAAUAACCCAUACUCAGACACUAUUUCAUGGCAUUCCUGAACCAGAGGGAUUGUCUUCAUGAGGUGCGGUGGUAACGGGGAGGGGAAGGGGGCAUAUACAGUGGUGUGCUGGGUAAUGUUGACCUGGCUCUUGCGGGGCGGAAGGCAGGGAGGCUCUGAUUUGUACUGGGUGCUGGUUUCCGUGGUGUAAAUCCUCCCACAGUGGCUGGUUUCAAGCUACCAAUAUGAUGUCACCCAGUGCAGACUUGGGAAGAGACGUCUAUGUUCAGCCCUCCAGAGCCAACAUGAGCAACUCCAGCACAACACUGGGUGGGUGGCAACCUCCAGUGGGGCUCCAGCGGGUGGAAACCUCUUUGUGGCCAGCGCCCAAGGAUGGGGGGAGUGGAGAAUCAAAAUGAUGGGACAUCUCGGUGAUCAAGGAGGAAGAGAGUUUCAGAGAGGAAAA